Molecule: ribosomal RNA, 245 nt
Filed under: uncultured bacterium
Lineage: Bacteria
Description: partial 16S ribosomal RNA
Rfam family: Bacterial small subunit ribosomal RNA
Source: RNAcentral
UACGUAGGGGGCUAGCGUUGUUCGGAUUCACUGGGCGUAAAGGGCAUGUAGGCGGUUAUGUAAGUGUGGGUUGAAAGACCGGAGCUUAACUCCGAGUUUGGUCUGCAAACUGCGUAACUAGAGUGCAGGAGGGGAGACUGGAAUUCCGCGUGUAGGGGUGAAAUCUGUAGAUAUGCGGAAGAAUACCGGUGGCGAAGGCGAGUCUCUGGCCUGUAACUGACGCUAAUAUGCGAAAGUGUGGGGAG